GCUGAAGUAAUUAACAAUAGAUUAAAUGGAUCAAUAAUUACCAUAUCAUACAUUAGUCAUGUUUGACACCUUCCAAAAAGUAUCUAAAAUAUGUUACCUGGACACAUACAUAAACUCAGGGGUAGAAUUAACUCCGUAGUAAAACAAUUUGACAAGUGACCUUACCUCUAUUUAUAGAGAAUGUCAGUAAACACAAUUGAUACGAUUUUUAUUAUAAAAGUUACAGAAAUUUCCAGAUUUAAUCACCUAGAAAACUUUGUUUUAAUCUGCUUAAUCAUAAGGAAGAUUGUUCCAUGUAUUUGUUUGACAGGCUCCUCGGAAUCUAAAUAUUUAUAUAUUUUGCCUUUCUUACCACCAUGUAAAUUGUAGAACCGUUGGUGCAAAGAUCAAAAGAAAACCUAGACUGAGGGACCAAAAGAUGGCAUAAGGUUUGGAAGGAUAUGUGGGCUCUGUGUGAAGGGAAUGUUUUCCAAGCAUUGUAACAAGAGUGCAUUGACUUGAGGUGGAGACAAAACAUUAAAAGGUAACGUAAGCUGGCUGGAGGGAAAACAUCAGAUCUGAAAUCAGAUCAGGCUCGUUGCUGUGAAGAUAUGUUAGAAGGCAAGUUAGAGUCCCAUUGUUAGAAGAAGAACAAGAUGCCAAAUGUUGAUCCUGGCAGCUUAAGUUCUCAAAAACAUUUGCUGGUUCAUGUCUUUUUAUAUAUUCCCUGGAUAUUCCAGAGUCACUCACAUAGGGCCUCCACUAUGACGUGCAAAUAAGGCAUCUGGCAAGUGGCAAAGCCAGGAUGCAAACUCAGUUCUAACUGUGGGUUAGAACAAAGGAGCAGAAAAAAAUAACAUAACCAUCCUGGCUAACACGGUGAAACCCCGUCUCUACUAAA
RNAcentral lists this long non-coding RNA (880 nucleotides) under Homo sapiens (human). RNAcentral describes it as "long non-coding RNA NONHSAT178935". Lineage: Eukaryota; Metazoa; Chordata; Mammalia; Primates; Hominidae. The record is from RNAcentral.